This is an RNA transcript of Cotesia glomerata, 1100 nucleotides long. RefSeq lists it as uncharacterized. The record is from RefSeq and is a predicted model, not a curated record. NCBI's taxonomy places the organism in Eukaryota, Metazoa, Arthropoda, Insecta, Hymenoptera, Braconidae. The transcript is spliced from 5 exons.
CGACUUUAACAUGAUCUGCACCCGCGUGCGCACCCCUCUUCAUUUACUUUACUUGCGUGUUAGACAGUUCACAUACACAACUAGAUCACCUCUGUUAAAUGUUUGUUUGCUCACUCUUUUCAAUAAGAGAUUUAAUCUAUUAAAGUGAAAAGGCAUGAUUUUUUUUUCUUCAAAUACAAUUACACUGGUACCUAGUUCCAAGAAUUAUUUUAUCGCAAAUGGAUAUCGAGCCAAACUUCCGGAAAUUUUAGUUAAUAAUUGCUUAACUUGUGAUGAAGGAAUAAAAAGGGAAGCCCAAGAGGAAUUGCAGAUUUUAAGACAAUAUUUUUUUACAGAUUUUAAGUUCUUAUUAGAAAAAAAUACUAUUCCAAUAGUUGUGAACUGUCUUCUUAAUGCUGGUCCUUGUGAUAGUAGAUUAAUACUCUUUAAAAGAGAAGGAGCUCUAUUUUUCGCAAGAAAUCAACUUCUCGACUAGACUAUAGGAGAAUAUAAGGGCCUUGCAUAAACGCGAAAUGGAUUUAUUGGGAUUUUUUUACGUAUGAGUAGACAUAUUAGUUUAAGAGUAAAUUACCAUUUUUCUUGAAAAGUAAUGAAUGCCCUGAUUGUACAGACGACUUUAUUAACAAAAUGAAAAAACGAAUUGAUUAUCUCAAAAAAUUUCAUCCGCAAAAAUGGCAACAAAUUGAACAGAUGUUUUGGGUAUAAUACUCGAUCCCUAUUCGAUAAUUUACCUGCCAACGUUGUUACAAAGGGCGGAGCAACAGAAUAUAUAAAGACGAGCAGAUUUUAUUUUUUACCAGUCGUAGACGAAUUGUUUGACUACUAGUCACAAAUUUAAUAAGUUUGCUUCUGAUUUAAUAAGUUUGAUUCGUUAAUAAUCAUAUCAAUAUGAAAACUCAAAUUAUUUUCUUGUGCGUUUUGGGAGUUAUUGCUUUAGUAUCAUGCGCUCCACAUGGAUCAUUCGAUAACCAACCGAAAAUUACUCCCGAAGAAAUUAUGAACGUGGAAAGUCAGUUGCCAUGUGUCCUCCAGCAGCCUGGAGCAGUCUGCUCUGCUAUCGGAGAGAGGGCAAAAAGUGAGUAUAUUUUAAUUAACUGAAA